CUUGGGGCAUGUAUAGCGUCUGGCGGGUUCUUGAUUACCAAGAAAGAGGUUAAAAAACAUACAACAAAAAAUAAGAAUUUCAAUGGACCAGUUUGACAGGGUGUUUCUAGUUCUUCAUCUGCAAUGUUUAAAGUGACUCCCGGGGCUUAUAAAUAAUGAGAUCACAUACCUUUUAGGCCUCUCUCAAGCUGCAAAUUUAAACGUCGCAGAAUUCAAUCGAACACAAUGAAUUUAAGUGGAUGGGUAUUUUGUGCGCUCUCAAUUUGGCAGAGAGAUGCUGUUAAGUGGAUGGGUAUUGCUCGGUGAAACAAAAUUUCCCAAUUUGCGUAGAGGGGAAUAAAGUUUGAAGCUCAAAUCAAAUGAAUUUACUUGUCUUAAUCCUUCUGGGAUCAGUAUUUUAGUCUGGGUGGAAGAGAGGAGGAGCAAAAGAUAGUGAGAAGGAGUCGAGCAGACGAUCAAAAUUGAGAGAGAUGAUCGCUUUUUAUGAAAUCAAAGGUUAGGAAUUAGGCUCGAAGCAGGUCCGGAGGGAUAAGCUUGUCAUUUCAAAUAAAAUAUAUUGCUUCGUCGUACAUCCAGCAGAGUUGGAACUUGGAAAGGAUUAGAUGGUCUUUUUAAACUGAAUAAAUUUUCUCACGAAAAAGACAUGUUCUCGUAUAAUAGAUAUAGUAGAUUAUCUUUAGACUUCGACCUCCAUCCCAAUCGACUCCGACCUUCAUCCCUCUCACUCGACCUCGAUCUCUCUUCGAUUUAUUGCAAUUAUUAAAUAUCAAAGUUGGGUUUUCUUUUGCCCCGUCACAACAAGUUUAGAUUGAAGGGGCUCGGCCGCAAGAAGCUUAAAUCAGGACAGAUCUCCCCAGAUUAUUUCAUUUUACUUUAAUUUUAUUUUUGGCUUUGAUUUUGGAUAUCAUCUUACUAAUUGGUUUUUUAUUAUACAGGUAAUUAGGACUUCAAAUUGGUGGCUUAAAAUUGAGGAUUUUAUCAAGCUUAUGCAUGUUUCUGAAGAGGCUUUUGUUGGAGUUAGGUGUUUAUUUGUAGAUUGACUGAUAGGUCAUUGCAUCCAACCAUGUUUAUGGGCUUCUACCACGAAAUCCAAAUAUUAUCUUGGGUACCUUGAAAUAUUUGAAGUAUGUUGUCUUGCAUUGGACUUUAGCCGGAAAAAUUGGGUAGGAGAAAUGUUUUGGUUUUGUAAUGCUACAAAAAGAUUGGCAAAAUUAAUGCUUUUAUUUUGUAUAUUUUUCUGUUAGUUCUAAAAUGCACUUUAUUUCCUCUC
Daucus carota subsp. sativus is the source of this 1270-nucleotide long non-coding RNA. RefSeq lists it as uncharacterized. The record is from RefSeq and is a predicted model, not a curated record. The transcript has 3 exons. NCBI's taxonomy places the organism in Eukaryota, Viridiplantae, Streptophyta, Magnoliopsida, Apiales, Apiaceae.